CUUUUUUUUUCUUUGAUUUUCUCUUUUUUUUUUCAACUGAGUGUUUCUUAUUCGGUGAGUGCUUUUCUCGUAUCAUCGAAGAUUUUUUUUCGAUGGUCGUUUUUCCUAAUUUUCCGCACUCACCUUAAUUUCAGAUACUGAUGGGGUUACCCCAAGCUUAGAAUUUAACACAGCUUAAAGCCAUAACAUUGACUCUGAACAGGGUAAGGAAGUGUUUGGGUCGAAGGUUACAUUCAUGUGGUUAUAUAAAC
This 251-nucleotide long non-coding RNA is filed under the name Lathyrus oleraceus (garden pea). RNAcentral describes it as "Pisum sativum (pea) long non-coding RNA (PSAT_LNC017672)". Lineage: Eukaryota; Viridiplantae; Streptophyta; Magnoliopsida; Fabales; Fabaceae. The record is from RNAcentral.